RNAcentral lists this ribosomal RNA (373 nucleotides) under uncultured organism. RNAcentral describes it as "bacterial SSU rRNA". It matches the Rfam family "Bacterial small subunit ribosomal RNA", at positions 526 to 896 of the family's 1533-position model. The record is from RNAcentral.
CGAACCGUGCGAACGUUAUUCGGAAUCACUGGGCUUAAAGCGCGUGUAGGCGGGGCGGUGCGUCGGUCGCUGAAAUCCCCCGGCUCAACCGGGGAAGGGGCGCCGAUACGACCGGCCUGGAGCGACGUAGGGGGAACUGGAACUUCCGGUGGAGCGGUGAAAUGCGUUGAGAUCGGAAGGAACGCCCGUGGCGAAAGCGAGUUCCUGGACGUCGGCUGACGCUGAGACGCGAAAGCCAGGGGAGCGAACGGGAUUAGAUACCCCGGUAGUCCUGGCCGUAAACGAUGGGCGCUGGGUAGGGGGCUCGCCGAUGGGCUCCCUGCCGUAGGGAAACCGUGAAGUGCCCCGCCUGGGGAGUAUGGUCGCAAGGCUG